GACACAGAAGGAUAGGGAAUCGCACGAAUGGAAAUGUGCGUCCAAGCAGUGAGUGUGAGAAGUAGGCAAAUCCGCUUCUCGCGAAGCAUGAGCUGUGAUGGGGAAGGAAAUUAAGUACGGAAGUUCCUGAUUUCACGCUGUCAAGAAAAGCCUCUAGGAAGAGUAGUACUGCCCGUACCGCAAACCGACACAGGUAGAUGAGGAGAGAAU
RNAcentral lists this ribosomal RNA (210 nucleotides) under Listeria monocytogenes. RNAcentral describes it as "partial 23S ribosomal RNA". It matches the Rfam family "Bacterial large subunit ribosomal RNA", at positions 1471 to 1679 of the family's 2925-position model. Lineage: Bacteria; Bacillati; Bacillota; Bacilli; Caryophanales; Listeriaceae. The record is from RNAcentral.